RNAcentral lists this transfer RNA (85 nucleotides) under Pelomonas sp. Root405. RNAcentral describes it as "tRNA-Arg". RNAcentral also lists the same sequence under 1 other name. Lineage: Bacteria; Pseudomonadati; Pseudomonadota; Betaproteobacteria; Burkholderiales; Sphaerotilaceae. The record is from RNAcentral.
GUGCCAGUCCAGCCUUGGCAAGCACAGCAAUCGCAGUGCGCUCCGAAGGCAGGGGUUGUUGGUUCGAUCCCAACCGGGCGCACCA